This 497-nucleotide ribosomal RNA is filed under the name uncultured bacterium. RNAcentral describes it as "partial 16S ribosomal RNA". It matches the Rfam family "Bacterial small subunit ribosomal RNA", at positions 28 to 507 of the family's 1533-position model. The record is from RNAcentral.
GAUGAACGCUGGCGGCGUGCCUAAUACAUGCAAGUCGAGCGAACGGACGAGAAGCUUGCUUCUCUGAUGUUAGCGGCGGACGGGUGAGUAACACGUGGAUAACCUACCUAUAAGACUGGGAUAACUUCGGGAAACCGGAGCUAAUACCGGAUAAUAUUUUGGACCGCAUGGUUCAAAAGUGAAAGACGGUCUUGCUGUCACUUAUAGAUGGAUCCGCGCUGCAUUAGCUAGUUGGUAAGGUAACGGCUUACCAAGGCAACGAUGCAUAGCCGACCUGAGAGGGUGAUCGGCCACACUGGAACUGAGACACGGUCCAGACUCCUACGGGAGGCAGCAGUAGGGAAUCUUCCGCAAUGGGCGAAAGCCUGACGGAGCAACGCCGCGUGAGUGAUGAAGGUCUUCGGAUCGUAAAACUCUGUUAUUGGGGAAGAACAUAUGUGUAAGUAACUGUGCACAUCUUGACGGUACCUAAUCAGAAAGCCACGGCUAACUACGUG